AUAGAGCAUGAAAACUAAAACUCACAUAAUCUGCAUUUGCCACAUUGAAAUGCACAAAACUCAGAUAACAGUUCCACCUAUGAAAAUGCAGAGUAGCAAACACCAGAGAAGCAAAACCCAAAUGAGCUAUGAAGUGCUGCAUCGAGAAAUUGUAAAGGAAAAAGGGCUUACAGGAUCCAAUGAAAGGUGCUUGCAAAGAGCCGAAGCUAUCAAUUUGUUUCUGCUUUCAACGGAAGCCAUAUCCGAUGAACGAUUAUUUGGUACUGAUGCUGCUCACUGCUGUUGUUAUCGUUUCAACUUCAAAUUCGCCUCUCCGCAAUUUUCUUCAUCACUUUGCACUUUGCANN
Molecule: long non-coding RNA, 347 nt
Filed under: Arachis ipaensis
Lineage: Eukaryota; Viridiplantae; Streptophyta; Magnoliopsida; Fabales; Fabaceae
Description: long non-coding RNA (AIPA_LNC002504)
Source: RNAcentral